Molecule: ribosomal RNA, 157 nt
Filed under: Garcinia mangostana
Lineage: Eukaryota; Viridiplantae; Streptophyta; Magnoliopsida; Malpighiales; Clusiaceae
Also listed under: 26 other names
Description: 5.8S ribosomal RNA
Rfam family: 5.8S ribosomal RNA
About the family: 5.8S ribosomal RNA (5.8S rRNA) is a component of the large subunit of the eukaryotic ribosome. It is transcribed by RNA polymerase I as part of the 45S precursor that also contains 18S and 28S rRNA.
Source: RNAcentral
CAAAACGACUCUCGGCAACGGAUAUCUCGGCUCUUGCAUCGAUGAAGAACGUAGCGAAAUGCGAUACGUGGUGUGAAUUGCAGAAUCCCGUGAACCAUCGAGUUUUUGAACGCAAGUUGCGCCCAAAGCCUUUUGGUUGAGGGCACGUCUGCCUGGG